This 257-nucleotide ribosomal RNA is filed under the name uncultured bacterium. Its description in RNAcentral is "partial 16S ribosomal RNA". It matches the Rfam family "Bacterial small subunit ribosomal RNA", at positions 524 to 776 of the family's 1533-position model. The record is from RNAcentral.
UACAGAGACCUCAAGCGUUAUCCGGAAUCAUUGGGCGUAAAGCGUACCGAUAGGUGGUUGAAAUAGUCUUGGGUAAAAGCCGGAAGCUCAACUUCCGCGUUUGCUUAAGAUACUUUUCGACUAGAGGGGCAAAGAGGUGAUUGGAACGAACGGUGUAGUAGUGAAAUGCGUUGAUAUCGUUCGGAACACCGAAAGCGAAGGCAGACCACUGGGUGCCACCUGACACUGCUAGGACGAAAGCGUGGGGAGCGAAUGGG